Long non-coding RNA from Manacus vitellinus (golden-collared manakin), 502 nucleotides. RefSeq lists it as uncharacterized. The transcript has 2 exons. The record is from RefSeq and is a predicted model, not a curated record. Lineage: Eukaryota; Metazoa; Chordata; Aves; Passeriformes; Pipridae.
GCAGCCGUUUCCUGUGCCACCGCUCCUGCGCCACAGUGACUGACCAUCCUCACCAGGACGGGGAGAAAGGAGGAAAAGAGGAAGUGUUGGAGCUGUGUGCUGCCCGAGGAAUUGCUGGUGGAAAUCAUCUCUGAACGGCUGCAGCUGAGUGACUGCUACAAGGGAGUGGUGUUUGAUGGCCUGGAGACCCUCUUUGCGAGCAGCCUGGCAUCUUCUCUCCUGUGCGUGCUCAAAGCUGUCAGCAAUCGCCCUCAUAUCCACGUUGUGAACAUCUUCCAGGAUUCUGAGUUUUGGAAAGGCAGGCAGAUAGCUGCAAGAGAGAAGAGGGCAAACCCAAGAAGAAGGUGCAGCGGUCAGCAAAACUAGUGACACCAUUUGUGUCAUGGCUUCUCCUGCUCGUGGUUUCCCAGCCUUCAGCAGAGACCUCCCCAUCUACUCCUCAAGCCCCAACACCCAUCUCUACCUCAUCUGUGUACCACCUAAUAAACUGUGUCUGAACCCA